This 685-nucleotide ribosomal RNA is filed under the name uncultured bacterium. RNAcentral describes it as "bacterial SSU rRNA". It matches the Rfam family "Bacterial small subunit ribosomal RNA", at positions 104 to 805 of the family's 1533-position model. The record is from RNAcentral.
GGGUGAGUAACGCGUGGGUAACCUGCCUUACACUGGGGGAUAACACUUAGAAAUAGGUGCUAAUACCGCAUAACAGGAGAAGAUGCAUGUCUUUUCCUUAAAAACUCCGGUGGUGUAAGAUGGACCCGCGUCUGAUUAGCUGGUUGGCGGGGUAACGGCCCACCAAGGCGACGAUCAGUAGCCGGCCCGAGAGGGUGAACGGCCACAUUGGGACUGAGACACGGCCCAAACUCCUACGGGAGGCAGCAGUGGGGAAUAUUGGACAAUGGGGGGAACCCUGAUCCAGCGACGCCGCGUGAGUGAAGAAGUAUUUCGGUAUGUAAAGCUCUAUCAGCAGGGAAGAAAGAAAUGACGGUACCUGACUAAGAAGCCCCGGCUAACUACGUGCCAGCAGCCGCGGUAAUACGUAGGGGGCAAGCGUUAUCCGGAUUUACUGGGUGUAAAGGGAGCGUAGACGGCGAUGCAAGUCUGAAGUGAAAGGCGGGGGCCCAACCCCCGGACUGCUUUGGAAACUGUAUAGCUGGAGUGCAGGAGAGGUAAGUGGAAUUCCUAGUGUAGCGGUGAAAUGCGUAGAUAUUAGGAGGAACACCAGUGGCGAAGGCGGCUUACUGGACUGUAACUGACGUUGAGGCUCGAAAGCGUGGGGAGCAAACAGGAUUAGAUACCCUGGUAGUCCACGCCGUAA